AGGUUUGGAGGCCACUCUACAGAUGAACCCUCUAUCCUGACACCUCUGGAGCAGUGCUGCAGGAUCCGUCACUCUACCCUCCUGUGUCUGUCUGCGUCUCCUCUCCCUGCCCCAGUACAGUCUGAUGUCAUGAGGGACUCUCUUUUUCAUGAUCCUCUAUUCCCGUGGCCCCUCUCCACCCUGGACCGUCGCCUAGCGACCGUGCUCAGAACCUUUGAGCCGUUGCCAAGAUCAACAGUGUAGCCUCCAUGGACGAAGCGAGGAUUAUGUCACUCAUUAUAAGACCUUGGUUACACCUGUGACACAUGCAGGGUAGUCUCUUAGAAAACAGGAUUCCAAAUGGGUUCUUCAGCUGUCCCCAUAGGAGAACUCUUUUGGGUUCCAGUUGUGUUAAGGUAGGGAUGGUAUACAGAACAUAGCCCUAUUUGGUAAAAGACCAAGUCCAUAUUAUGGCAAGAACAGCUCAAAUAAGCAAAGAGAAACGACAGUCCAUCAUUACUGACAUGAAGUUCAGUCAAUCCGGAAAAUGUCAAGAACUAUGAAAGUUUCUGCAGGUGCAGUCGCAAAAACUAUCAAGCGCUAUGAUGAAACUGGCUCACAUCAGGAUCCCCACAGGAAAGGAAGACCCAGAGUUACCUUUGCUGCAGAGGGACAAUGACCCAACACACCUCCAGGUUGUAUCAGGGAUAUUUGACCAAUAAGAAGAGUGAUGGAGUGCUGCAUCAGAUGACCGGGACUCUACAAUCACCCAACCUCAACCCAAUUGAGAUGGUUUGGGAGCUAGACCGCAGAGUGAAGGAAAAUCAGCCAACAGGUGCUCAGCAUAUAUAGGAAUCCUUCAAAACUGUUGGCAUUCUCUCAACCAGCUUCAUGAGGAAUGAAUCACUCUGUCAUUCCUCAUGAAGCUGGUUGAGAGAAUGCCAAGAGUGUGCAAAUCAGUCUUUAAGGCAAAGGGUGGCUACUUUGAAGAAUCAAAAAUAUACUUUGAUUUGUUUAACACUUUUUUGCUCACUACAUGAUUCCAUGUGUUAUUUCAUAGUUAUGUAUUCACUACUAUUCCACAAUUUAGAAAAUAGAUUUAAAAAAUAAAGAAAAAUCCUUGAA
Oncorhynchus nerka (sockeye salmon) is the source of this 1104-nucleotide long non-coding RNA. RefSeq lists it as uncharacterized. The record is from RefSeq and is a predicted model, not a curated record. The transcript is spliced from 3 exons. Lineage: Eukaryota; Metazoa; Chordata; Actinopteri; Salmoniformes; Salmonidae.